Molecule: long non-coding RNA, 389 nt
Filed under: Ananas comosus (pineapple)
Lineage: Eukaryota; Viridiplantae; Streptophyta; Magnoliopsida; Poales; Bromeliaceae
Description: long non-coding RNA (ACOM_LNC020649)
Source: RNAcentral
GUUGUGUGUUGAGUGUGGAAAAUAAAAUAUUAAAAGUUCGGCCGUCCCUAGCGCAAGUGGGAAAGGACUUGGUAGUUGGUAUUCGAAAUUCAAGUUCAAAUUCUAAUUGAUUCACAUUUCCAGCUAAAUUUAUUUCUAAAUAAAAUAAACGAAGCGGAUAGCGUGUUACCUAUCUCUCUCAAAAAAAAAAAAUAUCGUUCUCCGAAAGCUUACAUUUUUUAAAAAUAAAAAAAUUUGAAUUUUUGAAUCUUCUCGAGUUUUUGGUCUCUAUAUAAUUUAAGUUCACAUAUUAGACCUAUACAAAAUAUAUUAAACCUGGAUGAUUUGUAGCAUGUGUUUUUUUCGUGUGAUUUGAGAUCUUACAACGUGCACAAAUCAUUCAAAUUUCU